CCUCACUAAGAGGAACCUCUGUCGUCUCCUCCUUAGAGUCGCUCUCAGCAGAGAACUGAAUCACUGAAGUUGUUUAGGAUAAGAUAGGAGCUCUCUGAGAGACUCUGAGGAUCUUUGGGAAUAUGGGCCCAUAUAAACUGUGGUUAUGAAACUCUGAAGAGCUGAACCCCACUGGGAACAUGUGGUUAGUUUUCAUAAAGCAGGUGGAGAGCCAGAAACCAACAAACUGAGAUCAACUCCAAGCACUAAGGAGUCAAGACCAGUUCACCUUCAGUCAGGAUUUGAUCUACUAUCCCAUGAAUUACAGUUUUUUUCAGAAACCGUUAACUCUUCCUUCUGACCCGGUUCUUGGUCCCAUCAGGAACAAGGUGAUUUUAAAGCUUCAGGGAAAUGAGAUGAACAGCCAUGCAGCCCAGACCCACAAUGAACGAUCUAAUAAACAAAUUCAUCCACCUUUCAACAAGUGAAGAUGAUGUCGACUCUUCUGAUUGGCCACGUGAAAAUAAACACAGAUGAUCAACACCUUAAGUGUAGGGUUGUACAUAUUAGAACUUGGUCCACUCUUCUUUCCAACGUUGCUUCAACUCAUUUAGGUUUCUACGCUGUGUUCCUAAGGUCCCACCUCAAUGUUUCAAUUAGC
Molecule: long non-coding RNA, 640 nt
Organism: Girardinichthys multiradiatus
Lineage: Eukaryota; Metazoa; Chordata; Actinopteri; Cyprinodontiformes; Goodeidae
Exons: 3
Source: RefSeq, a predicted model, not a curated record